UGAGCAAUCUGCCCUUCACAUCGGAAUAACCAUUGGAAACGAUGGCUAAUACCGAAUAUGACUUCGGAUCGCAUGAUCUGAAGUGGAAAGCUCCGACGGUCAAGGAUGGGCUCGCGGCCUAUCAGCUUGUUGGUGAGGUAAUAGCUCACCAAGGCGAUGACGGGUAGCCGGCCUGAGAGGGUGACCGGCCACACUGGGACUGAGACACGGCCCAGACUCCG
Molecule: ribosomal RNA, 221 nt
Filed under: uncultured bacterium
Lineage: Bacteria
Description: partial 16S ribosomal RNA
Rfam family: Bacterial small subunit ribosomal RNA
Source: RNAcentral